This 1233-nucleotide ribosomal RNA is filed under the name Salinisphaera sp. G21_0. RNAcentral describes it as "partial 23S ribosomal RNA". It matches the Rfam family "Bacterial large subunit ribosomal RNA", at positions 1 to 1118 of the family's 2925-position model. The record is from RNAcentral. Lineage: Bacteria; Pseudomonadati; Pseudomonadota; Gammaproteobacteria; Salinisphaerales; Salinisphaeraceae.
GGUCAAGUGACUAAGCGUACACGGUGGAUGCCUUGGCAGUCAGAGGCGAUGAAGGACGUGGUAAUCUGCGAUAAGCUUCGGGGAGUCGAUAAACAGACUUUGAUCCGGAGAUUUCCGAAUGGGGAAACCCAACGGCAUAAGCCGUUAUUCCUUACCUGAAUACAUAGGGUCUGGAAGGCGAACCCGGGGAACUGAAACAUCUAAGUACCCGGAGGAAAAGAAAUCAAUUGAGAUUCCCCCAGUAGCGGCGAGCGAACGGGGAUUAGCCCUUAAGCAGUUUUUGGUUUAGUGGAAGGCUCUGGAAAGUGCCGCCAUAGUGGGUGAUAGCCCCGUACACGAAAGGCCAAUUAAUGUGAAAUCGAGUAGGACGGGACACGUGAAAUCCUGUCUGAACUGUCUUCGGACGAGGGGGGACCAUCCUCCAAGGCUAAAUACUCCUGACUGACCGAUAGUGAACCAGUACCGUGAGGGAAAGGCGAAAAGAACCCCGUUGAGGGGAGUGAAAUAGAACCUGAAUCCGUGUACGUACAAGCAGUGGGAGUCGGUGGGCAGUUGACAGUGGACAGUAGACAGUUGAUGUGCAGAAGCACGGUUGACUGAAACGCUGUUGCUGGAUGAUAAAGCGUCGGAAUGGAACAGGGAGCCAGAAACAGGCACUUCCUGAACCGUUCACCGUCUACUGUCAACUGUCCACCGAUGACUGCGUACCUUUUGUAUAAUGGGUCAGCGACUUACUUUCAGUGGCAAGGUUAACCGCAUAGGGGAGCCGUAGGGAAACCGAGUCUUAAUAGGGCGUGUUCUUAGGAACAACAGUCGCUGGGAGUAGACCCGAAACCGGGCGAUCUAUCCAUGGGCAGGUUGAAGGUUGAGUAACAUCAACUGGAGGACCGAACCGACUAUCGUUGAAAAGCUAGCGGAUGACCUGUGGAUAGGAGUGAAAGGCUAAUCAAGCCCGGAGAUAGCUGGUUCUCCUCGAAAGCUAUUUAGGUAGCGCCUCGUGUCUCACCAUCGGGGGUAGAGCACUGUUUGGGCUAGGGGGUCAUCCCGACUUACCAACCCCAUGCAAACUCCGAAUACCGAUGAGUGCAAUCACGGGAGACACACGGCGGGUGCUAACGUCCGUCGUGGAAAGGGAAACAACCCAGACCGUCAGCUAAGGUCCCAAAGUUCUGGUUAAGUGGGAAACGAUGUGAGAAGGCCCAGACAGCCAGGAGGUUGGCUUAGAAGCAGCCA